CAUGAGAAUUGGAUUCCGAAAGGAAACUCACCUUUGUCGGAGACCUGACGGAUGAAGAAAGAACAGACAGAUGUUCAGUCAACAGACUUCAUAUUCAAUUACUCUCUUAGAAAAGCAGUUCCUUGGGGUUCUGUACUCGCCCCGUGGCACUCAUACAACACAGUCAGCUAGACGUCUCUAAAACAAACAGGAAACAGGAGAGAAUGACCUACCCUUUCUUGACUCGAGUGAAAUCGAAGGCCAUUGCACGCCACUGACCUCAUUGCCGUGGAUACACAUGUGGUGUGUGGUGACGAGCGCUUUGAAGACGACCACCCAGCUGGCAUUCAUGGCCCUCUCGAACAAAGUGUCAGCCAUCUGUGGGAUGUUCACGUUGGUCUCGUUGGUGGCGGCGAUCAGAUCUGUAGAGAAAAUAUAUCAGCAAAGACAAUGAAAGACUCUUAAAAGAAAGAUGAAUAUAUAAUAUUUAUUCUGGUGCUUGGAUUACCGUAACACACAAAUCGGAUUGCAGCUCCCUAAUCAAAGCCACAUCAGAAUGGAUAUCCGAAAAUCUAGAUCAGAUUGAAGACCCAAGAACAGCAUUGUCCAUCGCUGAAUAAGAAUUUUACACACACACAAAAAAAAAAAGCACAAGAAUGGAAA
This is a long non-coding RNA of Tachysurus fulvidraco (yellow catfish), 642 nucleotides long. RefSeq lists it as uncharacterized. The record is from RefSeq and is a predicted model, not a curated record. NCBI's taxonomy places the organism in Eukaryota, Metazoa, Chordata, Actinopteri, Siluriformes, Bagridae. The transcript is spliced from 4 exons.